GUAAGUGUUUGGUGUCAGUUUUGCUGGCUCUAGGAGUGUCAAAGCGAUGAUCGAGGAGUCCUUCUCCAUCUGCCGAUAGAGGGGUGCCUUUGGGAACAUGGGCACAGGUGGUGCAUAGAGUUCAACCAUUGUGUUUAGUUGCCAAUCGUUGAGGUUGGAACCUUGAGUAGACUGUCGGCGGUAAGCCAGAGGAAGGUGAGGAUGACAUCAAGUCAUCAUGCCCCUUAUGCCCUGGGCAACACGUGCUAUAAUGGCCGAGAAAGAGUUAUGAUCUUGUGAGGCUAACUCCAAAAACCCGUCAUUAAUUCGGAUUGUUGGUUGCAACUCGCCUGCAUGAAGCCGAAAUCACUAGUAAUUGUAGGUCAGCCAUAUGGUGGUGAAUUCGUU
Molecule: non-coding RNA, 387 nt
Filed under: Cucumis sativus (cucumber)
Lineage: Eukaryota; Viridiplantae; Streptophyta; Magnoliopsida; Cucurbitales; Cucurbitaceae
Description: Bacterial small subunit ribosomal RNA
Rfam family: Bacterial small subunit ribosomal RNA
Source: Rfam by way of RNAcentral